Triticum urartu is the source of this 5307-nucleotide long non-coding RNA. RefSeq lists it as uncharacterized. NCBI's taxonomy places the organism in Eukaryota, Viridiplantae, Streptophyta, Magnoliopsida, Poales, Poaceae. The record is from RefSeq and is a predicted model, not a curated record.
CAGAUGGCAGCCCAAAAAAACGCCUCGCAAAAACCACUCCUAUCGAUCCCAUUGAGGACACAGCGCCGCCGUCGAGCGAUCUCGAGGUCACAGCGCCGCCGUCGUGCGAUCUCGGAACUGACGCAGACGCACGAGAACGCCACCGCUGCCACGCCGGAUCUCGCCUCCACGUUAGAGGAUUGCCGCCACGGUUCUGGAUCGCCGCCGCGAACGUCACGUCAGCGCCGCCGCAUAUCUCCAAGGGCGUGGUCGCGUUGCCGUGAUUGGAGGAGACCGUCUCUGCCUUCCCUAUUUGGAGGACGAACAGAGGUACUUUGAGGCCCAUGUACGUCAAUCCCCGCCUCCGCUUUCCUCCUUUCCCAUCGAGGGCUGCCGUUGCUGCUCCGUCUUUUAUCUCAUGUCUCUCUCUGAAUGGUGGCGAUGGUGGUCGGGGGCUCCGAUGGGGAGGCCCGCAAGGGGGAAACGGAAAGCGGCGGAGGAGCGAAGGCCAUGGCCGAGAAGCAGGUUACGCGCUGCCGCUUGGACAGGAAAGCGGGCGUUCGGAGGUACCUAGGAAUUUCAGAGGGGCUGAGCAGGACGGCCAAGGGCGUCGCCAAGGUCUUCGGCGUCCAGCCGUCCACGCCUUGAGUGUAUCUACAUCGACAUGCCAACCAGCAGUAGCCUGGGCAGCGACAGGGUGGUGCAACUGGACCUGGACCUGGAGGUUGCCCCCUGGGCCCGUCGCCAUCGGUUGAGAUGAAGCAGGUGAAUAAGAAGGGGGUGGCGACGAAGGUGGUGGAGUGGCAUAUGCGAGAGGUGGAGGAGAUCAGCAAUUAAUUCAAGAGGGAGGUUGUUCUCGUCAACGGCUCAGAGGCGGAGCAGGUGGACAAGGCCUCUUGCUCAACAAGAUUGCUGAGAUCUGUUAAUUUUAAUUUUUGGAAUGCUGAAAUCUGUUCAAAUGCGAGGUUUACUAGCUAAAAAAUUGCAGCAGAUAAGGACAAAAACUUGUUGAUUUUGCUCAACAUGGUGCCGCUUGAUCAGUACUCAAUGAAGAUGAACUGACCAUCAUAGCCGGUGAUGAUUACAGGGGAUGUGCUGGCGCCAGUGCUUGUUGCUAACUUGCUAUUCAUAGAAAGGAGUGGAUCUGGCAAUAUUUCAAUCAAUAAAGGUUAUCUUUCCUAUAGCUUUUGUUAUUAGGUACAUGCAGUGUGUGUCACUUCCUUAGAUCAUAUCUGGUUCCUAAAGUUUUAGAUGUUUCAUAUAACCAUCAGGCGCCUUUCAGGAAAAAUAUGACCAUCAGUUACCCCAUAUGGCAGUCCUUGUACAUGUUUCUUUUAUCUGCUUUAAAAAUUUAUUGUGAAGCAAAAUAAAGUUGUAUGUAAGAAUAUCAUAGAUUGUGUUUAUAUAUACAAGGAUCGCUUCAAGUUCCUAACUUUUUUAGUGAAGCAUUAAGUUGAGAAUGUAGAAUGGGGGACCAAAAUACUUCUUAUGUAAGUACCGGAGCAGGAAUUGAAAUUAGUCUACCAUGUGUGUGUGUGUGCGCGCGCGCGCGCAUGUGUGUGUCCACUUAUCUCUGGUCCAGGAUUAGUUGUCCCUAAUGCUUGGUUUUCAUUUUGUACCAGCGUAUAAUUGUUGUUUCUGAAUGUUAUGAAUGAAUGAAACUUCAUCAAAACAGAAUAGCACAGCUACAAGGUCUUACAAGACUUUGUCCUCUUUCAAUGCAAGCUUGCCGGUAAUGUUGUUUCUGAAUGUUUCCAUUCUUCAUUUUUUGGUGAUGUCCCUUUUAAUUAGUGGCAUCAUGAUAUGCACCAUGCAUGGCGCCACCCACUUUACUUCUGGAGUUUGGACUAGUGCGUUUACUAUUUCCUACAGGCCUUCAAAAACAAAUAUGAGCUCCCGACUAUUCCACCCAAUCACAUAUCUCAUAUACUCCCUUGAACGACAUUUGUUUCUCCUAAGCGAAUCUAUUAUUAUUCCCCUUAUACCUCAUGGAAAAAGUAUGGGUUCUUAAUUCUUCUUCUACUCGAUCAUAUUCACCUGCACCUACUCAGUUGAAUGAAAUCAUGUUUCUUCUUCUCAGUGACUCCCUUGCUUUGUGUGCAAGUGGUACACAGGAGUACCCAGGACUAUUCUUAAUGUUAAUGGCUUCAGGCUUGGUUUUGUUAGAACAUAGAUUUUGAACAUAUGGGUCUAGAUAUUGCAUGCUUUAAUAUGCUGGAGGUGUGUAUUUGGAUGGUGUAAGUGCAACUCCGGUUCACCGACCCUGUCAUGAAGGCCGGCAGGAGCACCGCAUGACAACACAUCUAAUGAUUCAGAAAUUAUUCCAGUUGAGACGUUUCAAUUUUUUGCUUGAUUUCAGACGAAAACACAUGUUGUGUAACAUAACUCAUGUAAUGUGUGUAAUAGUAUUAACUGGUAUAUAUUUGUUCUGGUCUCAACAUAUCACCGAUGCAUGCAGCAAAUGAACAAAGUUUAGAACUGCAUAAGAAUUUCUUGAUUUAAGAAGGAAAACUAAAGUGCAUGCAAGAUUACUUCUAGCAAACCUUUUUAGACUCUACUCUACUGAUUUUCUCAAGGCUUUCUAUCAAAGUAAAUGACAUAUUAAGAUUUUGUUCCUUCAUCAUAAUAUUUUCUGUAUAAUAUAUAUUUGUUUAUUUUACCACAGAAGUCUUGCUACGCUAGGCCUGCGUCGCUGCUGUUGAAGAAAAUGGAGUCAUCGUCGAGCCGCUCGAGAAUUGUUGAAGGAGAGAACAAACUACUACACUACCCAGCAACUUAUGCAGAGGUAUGAUCUCGACCCUGCUCGGCCACACCGCUUCAUUGUAUCUGCUUCUCUGAGUCUCUGUCAUCUUCUUCGCCACCAUUUCGGUUAUCCUCCCGGUUUUCUUUGCUGCUCCCCUUCCUUUCUUGUGCCGUCCAUCGAGCUAUCACUCUUGUGACGCCAGCCAUCGAGCCGGGGCAAGAUUUUUUUGUUCGCGGUGUGUCAUGCCUGAAUGAUUGCCUAAUUUAGGUUUAUAGGUAAGAGCUACAACUGAACCAUACUAAUUCUCAGAUCAGAUUUUGGCGUACAAAUAGCUCUCAAUUAUAUAGAAAAUUAAAAAUGGAUGUAGUAGCAUAUGUUCAGGGUGAGCGUAAAAAUUAGACCAAAGGAUGGGAUCCUUCCUAUUCUUUCAUGUUUAGUAGUAUUAUUGUUUUCCGUUGGAGAUGUUGCAUGCUAUCCCAAAGAGAUCAAACCGUCGGUACUGUCAUCUCAUUAGUAAAUGACUUCCUAUGACCACCCUGCACAAUGACAUGAUCAUUGGUGAUUUACGUGAUAGUCUACUUUGAUUGAUGAAAUGAUAUGCCUAAACUUUUGAACAAACAAAUUAGCCACACCUUGGUUGCGCACGCUACUGUGAUGUAAUGGCUGAAUGCUUGCUUAUUUUAGGUACAGUAAGAGCUAAACUGGGACCAUACUAAUUCUAAGAUCAUAUUUGGACAUACAAAUAACUCAGUUAUAUAGAAAACUAGAGGUUAUAUAUUUCAGGUUGAGGGUAAAAAAACACAUGCUCCAAAAAUACAAUGUGUUGCACAAUAAAGUAAAAAAUAUAUCUUAAUAGCAAGGUUAUGUAUACUAAGAAGUGAUUUUCUUUAAUUUGGGUGUUACUUUUGACCAAUACAACCGUAUUAAACUUUAUUGUCCUUCUGGCACAACUAUUUACAUCUCACACAUAAUGUUUACUUCUUAAAUGCCGCGGUUUAUUUGGAAGAGGGGAUGGAGGGAGGGAGAGAGAGAAUGUUGCAUUGCAGUGAGAGAGCCUGAGAGAGAGAGAGAGAGAGAGAGAGAGAGAGAGAGAGAGAGAGAGAGAGAGAGAAAAGAUAAACUGUGUGAGAUGUAAAUCAAUGCAUGGUUAAAGUCUAGAUGGAAAUGGAAGGUGUGAUUGCGAGCUAGAAGCACCAUUGAAAAAUGUGGUGAACUUGGGUUUGGGAGGCGGAGAGGCAAAGGUAAUGGGUGGAGGGAGAGAAGGAAAAGAGUAAUUUAACGGUAAAAUGGACGACAUCCAUUGAUGUACACGAGGAAUCGAAAGAAGAAAAUUUGAGGAAGAGACUAAAAGGUACAUACAUGAGUAGCCUGAUUCUUGUCUUAGAAAGUUGGUUCUUUUAUAUAUACAAGGAUUAGAAAGAGCAUGAGAACUUGCCAAGCCAUCUGGAAAUGCCAUCAGAGAUGAAACAUUUUUUAGGUUGCUGACAGCAUUGAGCUAAACUUGCUUUUGUUGCUACCGCUGGUGAAGACAAACUCCAGAAAAGGGAGUGAAAUAAGAAAGACGAGAGGUUGCACAAGAUGAGUAGUGAUGGGUAGCGGUAGAGGCUUAAACUGUGAUGAUGAUGCGUAUCUAACCAUUAGUAUGUUUCCCAUCAAGGAAACCUACAAUUUCUAUUAUGAUUCAGAGUUUCUAUUCUAAGGUGUGUUUCUCAUAAAGAAUGUGAUUUCUGCAUGAUAGUGUUUUGAGAACGUGAGGGUUUUAUGCAAAGACUGACAUUUAAGAAAGGAUGUAUUAAAAUGUAAACCCUGGUAGAUACUCCUGAAGUCGAAGUUGAUCAGGAAAUAGUAAUUUGUUUUUUCGAGCACUGAACUACCGGUUCCGGUUUUGCUUAAUCUCUACUCUUAAUGGAGGAGUUGGUAGCCUGGUAUGAUUUAUUUUCGUCCGGUUUUUAUUCGUCACCUCCCACCACCCCCACCAACUGGUUUUUCUCCUUUCCAUUGGAAACCCAAAUCUUAUUGAACGAGAUAUCUUGUUUUGUGCUUACUUUGGUAGGUUCUGAUUCAUUCCAAUCACGUAAAUAAAUAGGUAAUUAAGAAUUCCGAACUUACACCAUAUAUUUGAGAUUACCUUCCUAAAAUAUAGACGUAAUAUUUUUCUUGAUAACCUUCCAAAACGAAAUAAGAUAAUUCUCAAUAACAAAUCAUUAAUCAUGCGUACUAUGUUAUUAUUAUUAUCUCCACUAUUAAUUGACUAUCAUAAGUUUCCUAAACAACAAAAGAACAUAUAUUUUACUUGUGGGCGUACGCAUCCGCGCACUCUAUGGAGGACGUCGUGCGCUACACCAUGGAGGAUGUCGUGGCUGAUACUCGAGAAUGCCAAGGCGUGCAUCACGACAUCAAGGAUGGCCAUGGUGGAAGGCAUUUCGUCAUACCACCACGUACAUGUGUUCGUGGACAGUCAUAUUAUAUUUCUUGUCAUUAAUACAGAGACACACAGACUACAUUCUCAAAUUAAGUGUCCAUUUAAAUGUCAAAAUUUCGUUAAGGAAAUGUGUCCUACAAUACUUGGUAGUCGCCGUCAUUCG